CUGUGUCCUUCGACGCCGGUUCACCGCCUGCCGGUGCCAACUGGCGUUUUGCGGGACGUCCUGUCGGUGGUGUGUCAGGAAUCUUAGUUGUGCUUUGCUUUGCUUAGUGCAGCUCUGGUUUCGGGCCACUUUCAUAAUCCCGCCGCGGUGCUCUUAAUCGAGUGUCGAGGCGGGCCGGCACGUUUACUUUGAACAAAUUAGAGUGCUUCAAGCAGGCUUGUCACGCCUAUAUACUGUGUGCAUGGAAUAAUGGAAUAGGACCUCGGUUCUAUUUUGUUGGUUUUCGGAAUCUGAGGUAAUGAUCAAUGGGGACAGGCGGGGGCAUUCGUAUUGCGACGUUAGAGGUGAAAUUCUUGGAUCGUCGCAAGACGGACCGAAGCGAAAGCAUUUGCCAAGUAUGUUCCCGUCGAUCAAGAACGAAAGUUAGAGGUUCGAAGGCGAUCAGAUACCGCCCUAGUUCUAACCAUAAACAAUGCCUGCCAGCGAUCCGCCGGCGUCCCUCCGAUGACCCGGCGGGCAGCUUCCGGGAAACCAGAGCUUUUGGGUUCCGGGGGAAGUAUGGUUGCAAAGCUGAAACUUAAAGGAAUUGACGGAAGGGCACCACCAGGAGUGGAGCCUGCGGCUUAAUUUGACUCAACACGGGAAAACUCACCAGGCCCGGACACCGGAAGGAUUGACAGAUUGAUAGCUCUUUCUUGAUUCGGUGGGUGGUGGUGCAUGGCCGUUCUUAGUUGGUGGAGCGAUUUGUCUGGUUAAUUCCGAUAACGAACGAGACUCUAGCCUACUAAAUAGACGUAUCUGGUAUCAGCAAUCGUGCUACCAGCGAUCAUAUCUCUUCUUAGAGGGACAGGCGGCUUCUAGCCGCACGAGACUGAGCAAUAACAGGUCUGUGAUGCCCUUAGAUGUCCUGGGCCGCACGCGCGCUACACUGAAGGAAUCAGCGUGUCUUCCCUGUCCGAAAGGACCGGGUAACCCGCUGAACCUCCUUCGUGCUUGGGAUUGGGGCUUGCAAUUGUUCCCCAUGAACGAGGAAUUCCCAGUAAGCGCGAGUCAUAAGCUCGCGUUGAUUACGUCCCUGCCCUUUGUACACACCGCCCGUCGCUACUACCGAUUGAAUGAUUUAGUGAGGUCUUCGGACCGGUGCGCGGAGGCGGUUUUCCGCUCCCGAUGUUGUUGGAAAGAUGACCAAACUUGAUCAUU
Molecule: ribosomal RNA, 1200 nt
Filed under: Prokelisia salina
Lineage: Eukaryota; Metazoa; Arthropoda; Insecta; Hemiptera; Delphacidae
Description: SSU rRNA
Rfam family: Eukaryotic small subunit ribosomal RNA
Source: RNAcentral